Molecule: ribosomal RNA, 465 nt
Filed under: uncultured bacterium
Lineage: Bacteria
Description: partial 16S ribosomal RNA
Rfam family: Bacterial small subunit ribosomal RNA
Source: RNAcentral
GACGAACGCUGGCGGCGUGCUUAACACAUGCGAGUCGAACGGAAAGGCCCUGCUUGCCGGGUACUCGAGUGGCGAACGGGUGAGUAACACGUGGGUGAUCUGCCCUGCACUUCGGGAUAAGCCUGGGAAACUGGGUCUAAUACCGGAUAGGAGCCAUUUUUAGUGUGAUGGUUGGAAAGUUUUUUCGGUGUAGGAUGAGCUCGCGGCCUAUCAGCUUGUUGGUGGGGUAAUGGCCUACCAAGGCGGCGACGGGUAGCCGGCCUGAGAGGGUGGACGGCCACAUUGGGACUGAGAUACGGCCCAGACUCCUACGGGAGGCAGCAGUGGGGAAUAUUGCACAAUGGGCGCAAGCCUGAUGCAGCGACGCCGCGUGGGGGAUGACGGCCUUCGGGUUGUAAACUCCUUUCGCUAGGGACGAAGCUUUUUGUGACGGUACCUAGAUAAGAAGCACCGGCUAACUACGUG